This 105-nucleotide ribosomal RNA is filed under the name uncultured bacterium. RNAcentral's name for it is "partial 16S ribosomal RNA". The record is from RNAcentral.
AAGGCCUUCGGGUUGUAAAGCUCUUUUGUCCGGGAGGAAACGGUGUACUCUAAUAAAGGAUGCUAAUGACGGUACCGGAAGAAUAAGCACCGGCUAACUACGUGC